This is a long non-coding RNA of Astatotilapia calliptera (eastern happy), 1174 nucleotides long. NCBI's taxonomy places the organism in Eukaryota, Metazoa, Chordata, Actinopteri, Cichliformes, Cichlidae. The record is from Ensembl.
UAGCAUCAUGUAUUUAUGUAGACAAAACACAGAACCUGAGAUAACAUUCCCAGUAUCCACAACCGGGGAAAGAAAAAAAUCUUUGAUUAUUUGGAAUAAGAAUAUUUCAGUCCAUCAGCAUUUCAUCAAGAUGCUAAAACUAGGAGAUGUUAGUCAAAAGAUCAAAAUAGUCAACUUUCAGUUCACAUGCAAACAGAACUAUCAGAGGCUAAAUUAUGGAGGAAACCUCUCCUCUGUAACACCCUCUGCUGGAAGUGCAUAAAAAUCCACCCGAUACAUGUGACAUUUGCCUGACAGAACAAAACUAAAAAUGACAAGGGUCUUUUUUUUUUUCCUUUUUAGCUUAUGUAGCAGGUAUUUGGGGAAAAAGGGUAAAAAACAGACAUCACUACACAUACAUAUACAACCAAGUACAAAAGUGAGUAUAAAAAUAAGAAUUGCGACUCAAAAGUAGUAGUUCAACUUGUGCAAACAUGUCUGCGAGAAAAUAAAACUAUAUGAUCGUUAACUUGUCAGCUUGGCAGAACAAAAUGAUCAGGGAAACUGAGGACGACAAGUCUAUACCACUAAAACUGGUUAGGUAGUCAACUAGGCAGUGAAACCUCAAAACUAAAACGUACCAUCAGGCACAGAUCUAGAACGUCAAUAAACAACAUGCAACCCUUUUUUGCAAGUAAACAAGACAUUUUAAAAAAGUACUACUCGUAAAGCAAGAAUGCAUGUGAUGAAGCCAUUAGGUGCUGACGCUACCUGAACUUCUACAUCUACAAAAUUCCCUUUACAACAACCAAAAUGUCAUUUCAUGUUGUCCUUUAAAUCAGGUAAAAACAAAGUACCCACUGAUUUGUCACGCUUCGUACACUAGUGACUGGUGCAAGGAAAUAAGUGAACAGCAGAUAAAUAUCUUUGAUAAGAUGAAAAAAAUAAUUAAACAGAUGCAGUUUAAAAAUAAGGAACAGUAUCAACAAAGUUACUGUUGUGGCGUCUUUGAGGAAAUAACUGUGCAGGAAGUGAGCAGUCAGUCAAACAAAUCAAGUGAAAGUUUACAGAAAAAUAAGUGAGCAGUGCUGCUGUAAGACAGCACAGUGUCUCAAUUAUUUUUGGCUAAGACAAAUGUAAAUAUCUUUGGGUAAUAACAGAACUAAAUUUGUUUAGUUUAGAAGUGUUGCAAUUA